This 1258-nucleotide ribosomal RNA is filed under the name Plagiostomum vittatum. Its description in RNAcentral is "eukaryotic LSU rRNA". It matches the Rfam family "Eukaryotic large subunit ribosomal RNA", at positions 413 to 1426 of the family's 3401-position model. The record is from RNAcentral. Lineage: Eukaryota; Metazoa; Platyhelminthes; Prolecithophora; Plagiostomidae.
AGGUAAACGGGUAGUGCUGAAGUAGGCGUUCAUGAUUUAACUUUGUGGGCUGCUGAGGCGUUUUUUGGCCAAGUCCUAAGAGGCUGGUUGAGGGGCGUUUUCGGUGGUCUGCGAGGGGCACUUUGUGUUCGCUAGCACUGGGACCGGUGAUUAGGUUGGACUGUCUUUCGGAGAAGGUAGUGAAUGUCUCUCACGGGACAGUCAUGUUAUAGCUCUGAUUACGGCAAUAUCUGACUGAACAUCGUAAAUUGCGGCUUGCGUUUUCUGGGGUUGGCUGUUGCCGGGCAGGACUUUGUAUUUACUGUUUAACAGUGGGUCUAGGUCGUUUGCCUUGUGCGGUCGAUCUCGUUGCGCGAGUCCAUAGUCUCCAGUGUGCCAGUAGGUCAACUACCCGACCCGUCUUGAAACACGGACCAAGGAGUUCAGUAUAUGCGCGAGUCAAUGGGUUUUACGAAACCUUGCGGCGAAAUGAAAGUAAAGGUCCACUUCGGUGUGACUUUCGUGUGAUCCCGAGACCUCGGUCGAGGGCGCAACACGGGCCGGCUUUUUCAUUUUUGUGAUAUAAGCUGCGCUUGAGCGUAUAUACUGAGACCCGAAAGAUGGUGACCUAUACUUGCUCAGGUUGAAGCCAGAGGAAACUCUGGUGGAAGACCGCAGCAGUUCUGACGUGCGAAUCGAUUGUCAGAAGUGAGUAUAGGGGCGAAAGACUAAUCGAACCAUCUAGUAGCUGGUUCCCUCCGAAGUUUCCCUCAGGAUAGCUGGCGCUCGAUUUCAGUUUGAUCCGGUAAAGCGAAUGAUUAGAGGUCCUGGGAACGAAAUGUUUUCAACCUAUUCUCAAACUUUAAAUGGGUCAGAUGGCAUUGUCACUUAAUUGGACUUUGUCAAUGAAUGAGAGUGCCUAGUGGGCCAUUUUUGGUAAGCAGAACUGGCGCUGUGGGAUGAACCAAACGUCUGGUUAAGGUGCCAAACGCAGUCGCUCAUAAGAUACCAGAAAAGGUGUUGGUUGGUAUAGACAGCAGGACGGUGGCCCUGGAAGUCGGAAACCGCUAAGGAGUGUGUAACAACUCACCUGCCGAAUCAACCAGCCCUGAAAAUGGAUGGCGCUUUAGCGAUGGACCUAUACCGGACCGGCAUGGCGGAAUUGCAGCGGUGUUGGACACGUCUCUUUUUAGGGGCGGGAAAGGCGCCGUUGUUAAGGAGGCUGUGCCGAGUAGGAGGGCCACCGUGGUUGCGUAGAAGCUUAAGCCGUGAGAGCUGA